This 2989-nucleotide ribosomal RNA is filed under the name Salmonella enterica subsp. enterica serovar Typhimurium. RNAcentral describes it as "23S ribosomal RNA". It matches the Rfam family "Bacterial large subunit ribosomal RNA". Lineage: Bacteria; Pseudomonadati; Pseudomonadota; Gammaproteobacteria; Enterobacterales; Enterobacteriaceae. The record is from RNAcentral.
GGUUAAGCGACUAAGCGUACACGGUGGAUGCCCUGGCAGUCAGAGGCGAUGAAGGACGUGCUAAUCUGCGAUAAGCGCCGGUAAGGUGAUAUGAACCGUUAUAACCGGCGAUUUCCGAAUGGGGAAACCCAGUGUGAUUCGUCACACUAUCAUUAACUGAAUCCAUAGGUUAAUGAGGCGAACCGGGGGAACUGAAACAUCUAAGUACCCCGAGGAAAAGAAAUCAACCGAGAUUCCCCCAGUAGCGGCGAGCGAACGGGGAGGAGCCCAGAGCCUGAAUCAGCAUGUGUGUUAGUGGAAGCGUCUGGAAAGGUGCGCGAUACAGGGUGACAGCCCCGUACACAAAAGCGCAUGUGCUGUGAGCUCGAUGAGUAGGGCGGGACACGUGGUAUCCUGUCUGAAUAUGGGGGGACCAUCCUCCAAGGCUAAAUACUCCUGACUGACCGAUAGUGAACCAGUACCGUGAGGGAAAGGCGAAAAGAACCCCGGCGAGGGGAGUGAAAAAGAACCUGAAACCGUGUACGUACAAGCAGUGGGAGCACAGGUUUACCUGUGUGACUGCGUACCUUUUGUAUAAUGGGUCAGCGACUUAUAUUCUGUAGCAAGGUUAACCGUAUAGGGGAGCCGUAGGGAAACCGAGUCUUAACCGGGCGUUAAGUUGCAGGGUAUAGACCCGAAACCCGGUGAUCUAGCCAUGGGCAGGUUGAAGGUUGGGUAACACUAACUGGAGGACCGAACCGACUAAUGUUGAAAAAUUAGCGGAUGACCUGUGGCUGGGGGUGAAAGGCCAAUCAAACCGGGAGAUAGCUGGUUCUCCCCGAAAGCUAUUUAGGUAGCGCCUCGUGAAUUCAUCUCCGGGGGUAGAGCACUGUUUCGGCUAGGGGGCCAUCCCGGCUUACCAACCCGAUGCAAACUGCGAAUACCGGAGAAUGUUAUCACGGGAGACACACGGCGGGUGCUAACGUCCGUCGUGAAGAGGGAAACAACCCAGACCGCCAGCUAAGGUCCCAAAGUCAUGGUUAAGUGGGAAACGAUGUGGGAAGGCCCAGACAGCCAGGAUGUUGGCUUAGAAGCAGCCAUCAUUUAAAGAAAGCGUAAUAGCUCACUGGUCGAGUCGGCCUGCGCGGAAGAUGUAACGGGGCUAAACCAUGCACCGAAGCUGCGGCAGCGAACGUAUCACUUAAAGCGAUUCAGCGGGUUACGAUUGACGGAGCGAAGCGACGUCAAAGCGUAUACAAAGUCGAGUCGGUUUAAGGAUACGUUCGUUGGGUAGGGGAGCGUUCUGUAAGCCCGUGAAGGUGGCCUGUGAGGGUUGCUGGAGGUAUCAGAAGUGCGAAUGCUGACAUAAGUAACGAUAAAGCGGGUGAAAAGCCCGCUCGCCGGAAGACCAAGGGUUCCUGUCCAACGUUAAUCGGGGCAGGGUGAGUCGACCCCUAAGGCGAGGCCGAAAGGCGUAGUCGAUGGGAAACGGGUUAAUAUUCCCGUACUUGGUGUUACUGCGAAGGGGGGACGGAGAAGGCUAUGUUGGCCGGGCGACGGUUGUCCCGGUUUAAGCGUGUAGGUGUGUGUUCCAGGUAAAUCCGGUUCACUUUAACACUGAGGCGUGAUGACGAGGCACUACGGUGCUGAAGCAACAAAUGCCCUGCUUCCAGGAAAAGCCUCUAAGCAUCAGGUAACAUCAAAUCGUACCCCAAACCGACACAGGUGGUCAGGUAGAGAAUACCAAGGCGCUUGAGAGAACUCGGGUGAAGGAACUAGGCAAAAUGGUGCCGUAACUUCGGGAGAAGGCACGCUGACACGUAGGUGAAGUGAUUUACUCACGGAGCUGAAGUCAGUCGAAGAUACCAGCUGGCUGCAACUGUUUAUUAAAAACACAGCACUGUGCAAACACGAAAGUGGACGUAUACGGUGUGACGCCUGCCCGGUGCCGGAAGGUUAAUUGAUGGGGUCAGCGCAAGCGAAGCUCCUGAUCGAAGCCCCGGUAAACGGCGGCCGUAACUAUAACGGUCCUAAGGUAGCGAAAUUCCUUGUCGGGUAAGUUCCGACCUGCACGAAUGGCGUAAUGAUGGCCAGGCUGUCUCCACCCGAGACUCAGUGAAAUUGAACUCGCUGUGAAGAUGCAGUGUACCCGCGGCAAGACGGAAAGACCCCGUGAACCUUUACUAUAGCUUGACACUGAACAUUGAGCCUUGAUGUGUAGGAUAGGUGGGAGGCUUUGAAGUGUGGACGCCAGUCUGCAUGGAGCCGACCUUGAAAUACCACCCUUUAAUGUUUGAUGUUCUAACGUGGACCCGUAAUCCGGGUUGCGGACAGUGUCUGGUGGGUAGUUUGACUGGGGCGGUCUCCUCCUAAAGAGUAACGGAGGAGCACGAAGGUUGGCUAAUCCUGGUCGGACAUCAGGAGGUUAGUGCAAUGGCAUAAGCCAGCUUGACUGCGAGCGUGACGGCGCGAGCAGGUGCGAAAGCAGGUCAUAGUGAUCCGGUGGUUCUGAAUGGAAGGGCCAUCGCUCAACGGAUAAAAGGUACUCCGGGGAUAACAGGCUGAUACCGCCCAAGAGUUCAUAUCGACGGCGGUGUUUGGCACCUCGAUGUCGGCUCAUCACAUCCUGGGGCUGAAGUAGGUCCCAAGGGUAUGGCUGUUCGCCAUUUAAAGUGGUACGCGAGCUGGGUUUAGAACGUCGUGAGACAGUUCGGUCCCUAUCUGCCGUGGGCGCUGGAGAACUGAGGGGGGCUGCUCCUAGUACGAGAGGACCGGAGUGGACGCAUCACUGGUGUUCGGGUUGUCAUGCCAAUGGCACUGCCCGGUAGCUAAAUGCGGAAGAGAUAAGUGCUGAAAGCAUCUAAGCACGAAACUUGCCCCGAGAUGAGUUCUCCCUGAGACUUAGAGUCUCCUGAAGGAACGUUGAAGACGACGACGUUGAUAGGCCGGGUGUGUAAGCGCAGCGAUGCGUUGAGCUAACCGGUACUAAUGAACCGUGAGGCUUAACCUU